GUGGUAGUGCUAGUGGAGCUAGAGGAGGCAUUGGGGUUUGAGCUACUGGAAAAGGAUUUGCUUCGGCGGAGUUCAGCGUCGAGGUAGGUGAUGGGGGUUUCCUGGUGCGUAUCAGGGUCAAUGCCGGAGAGGCGUUCGCGGAGGCAGGAGGCACAGAAACCGGUAAUGGGUUUGGACGGGUGGCGGUGGCACGUGGAGAGGCGGAAGUGUUGGGGUUGAGGCUGUAGAUUCAUGGCUGCUGG
RNAcentral lists this unclassified non-coding RNA (242 nucleotides) under Hevea brasiliensis (rubber tree). Lineage: Eukaryota; Viridiplantae; Streptophyta; Magnoliopsida; Malpighiales; Euphorbiaceae. The record is from RNAcentral.